GAUGAACGCUGGCGGCGUGCCUAAUACAUGCAAGUCGAGCGAACGGACGAGAAGCUUGCUUCUCUGAUGUUAGCGGCUGACGGGCGAGUAACACGUGGAUAACCUACCUAUAAGACUGGGAUAACUUCGGGAAACCGGAGCUAAUACCGGAUGAUAUUUUGAACCGCAUGGUUCAAAAGUGAAUGACGGUCUUGCUGUCUCUUAUAGAUGGAUCCGCGCUGCAUUAGCUAGUUGGUAAGGUAACGGCUUACCAAGGCAACGAUGCAUAGCCGACCUGAGAGGAUGAUCGGCCACACUGGAACUGAGACACGGUCCAGACUCCUACGGGAGGCAGCAGUAGGGAAUCUUCCGCAAUGGGCGAAAGCCUGACGGAGCAACGCCGCGUGAGUGAUGAAGGUCUUCGGAUCGUAAAGCUCUGUUAUUAGGGAAGAACAUAUGUGUAAGUAACUGUGCACAUCUUGACGGUACCUAAUCAGAAAGCCACGGCUAACUACGUG
This 497-nucleotide ribosomal RNA is filed under the name uncultured bacterium. Its description in RNAcentral is "partial 16S ribosomal RNA". It matches the Rfam family "Bacterial small subunit ribosomal RNA", at positions 28 to 507 of the family's 1533-position model. The record is from RNAcentral.